CCAGCAGGCAUGCUGAAACGUCCCCGCAAUAGAACAGCAGCGGGGAAGCCAGCUACCUCUUCGAUUCCAACGGCAGACGCUAUCGUAAGCUCCUUGACGACUGGAUUCACGUCUACUACCUCCAUCGCAUCGCAUCCUCACAAGUUCACAGUGGAGCUGAGCACUGGGUAAUGAUCUGCCCAAGAAGAUGGAUGUCUGCAGAAACCAGACUGUGGUUCUAAUGAAUAAUCUGAGACAAAUGUUUCAAGAUGAACUUCCCCCUCUUUCCUCCCUCCGAAAGAACUACUCCCUAUAGGCCAGGGGUCCACUCCCACUCCUCACCGAUACCGGACAGGGAGAGGCAUGUGAUGUCAUACAUAUUGUAACUUGGGGAUCACCACAGUUGCUGUCUGGUGGGAGUACAAGGAUUUUGUGCUAUCUGGGGGCAUUCCUCCAGUGGACCUCUAA
Molecule: long non-coding RNA, 447 nt
Organism: Ornithorhynchus anatinus (platypus)
Lineage: Eukaryota; Metazoa; Chordata; Mammalia; Monotremata; Ornithorhynchidae
Exons: 3
Source: RefSeq, a predicted model, not a curated record